This 465-nucleotide ribosomal RNA is filed under the name Vreelandella stevensii. RNAcentral describes it as "partial 16S ribosomal RNA". It matches the Rfam family "Bacterial small subunit ribosomal RNA", at positions 338 to 795 of the family's 1533-position model. Lineage: Bacteria; Pseudomonadati; Pseudomonadota; Gammaproteobacteria; Oceanospirillales; Halomonadaceae. The record is from RNAcentral.
CCUACGGGCGGCAGCAGUGGGGAAUAUUGGACAAUGGGCGAAAGCCUGAUCCAGCCAUGCCGCGUGUGUGAAGAAGGCCUUCGGGUUGUAAAGCACUUUCAGUGGGGAAGAAAGCCUUGGGGCUAAUACCCUCGAGGAAGGACAUCACCCACAGAAGAAGCACCGGCUAACUCCGUGCCAGCAGCCGCGGUAAUACGGAGGGUGCGAGCGUUAAUCGGAAUUACUGGGCGUAAAGCGCGUGUAGGCGGUCUGAUAAGCCGGUUGUGAAAGCCCCGGGCUCAACCUGGGAACGGCAUCCGGAACUGUCAGGCUAGAGUGCAGGAGAGGAAGGUAGAAUUCCCGGUGUAGCGGUGAAAUGCGUAGAGAUCGGGAGGAAUACCAGUGGCGAAGGCGGCCUUCUGGACUGACACUGACGCUGAGGUGCGAAAGCGUGGGUAGCAAACAGGAUUAGAUACCCCAGUAGUC